This 1394-nucleotide long non-coding RNA is filed under the name Marmota monax (woodchuck). The record is from RNAcentral. Lineage: Eukaryota; Metazoa; Chordata; Mammalia; Rodentia; Sciuridae.
CAGGAGGUGGAGGCGGAAGGAUCUCAAGUCCAAGGCCAGCCUCAGCAACUUACAGAGACCCUCAACAACUUGGCAAGAUCCAGUCUCAAAAAAUAAGGACUUGGGGAUAUAGCUCAGUGGUAAAGCAUACCUGGUUUCAUUUCACAGCAUCAAAAAUAAAUUAAUCUUUCACCCAAUAGAGAAGGAAACUGAGCCCUAAAUAUCCUGCUUGCUUGCCUGAGAGCAAGUGUUUGCCUCAACUGCAGUCUAGUUAACUCCAUUUAGUUGCUAAUGUUUAAUUCCAAAUUUUUAAAAAUGCAAAAAUUAAAGCCUAGAGAAGAAAAGUGGACUUGUCCAAAGCCAUACUUCUAGAACCAGGACUGUAACCCAUAUUUUCUGGUCCUUUAUAUCCUAGUAGCAGUAGAUAGUAUACAGCCUUGGUAGUCAGAGGAAUUUAGAGAGAGGCUUGCUGAGGCCUGGGAGGACUUUCAGAAGUAGGUAGUCUGAAGGGGUAGGGUCUUAAGAUUUGGGGAAAUUAAUUAUAGUCUGUGUCUGAUGUAGAAGAUGGUGCCUGGUUUUCUUUCACGUUGUUGUGAGGGGAAGAAGGGUGUGGAUGAGGUUCUUUGCAUGGACUAGAAGGGACAAGAAUUUUCUGCCAGUGUGACAAAGCACUUCCCCUGGGGGUUAUAUUGUUGAGGCUUCCUCUGUUCCCAGUGUUCCUGCAUACAAGUCUGUAAAAUAGGAGUCUUUGGUCAUCAGAGGUGAGAAGGCAAAUAGCAGAGCAAAUCUGAUGACAGCUUUUCUGCUUUGAAGAUGCUAAAAUUUUCUUUCAGCAAAUUUUACUUUAAAAGCAGGAGUGCAUUUUGAGAAACCUUUGUUUGGUUUAUUGCCUCACAAUUCUAGACAUUGAACUCAAAGACUGUUAAUGCAUGUAGUGAGACAGAACCCUGUUAAGAGGAGGGUUAUAGUACAAAUCAUGAAGAAACAAAUCAGAAGGCCUGGGUUCUGGUUCUUCCACAGCCACUUGCAUAUAUAGACAUAGGUAAACUCAAUCUUUAGAUCUCAUUUCCUUGUCAACAGAAUGGGACUGAUUCUCAAGGCAUAAUUCCCAAGUACUAUUGCAGUGCAUUUCCCCUGUAAGUUGUUAAAAUACAUUAGGAACGUGAAAAACAAAGAAUGAGAAAUUCAAUAGCAUUUUUUACUAAAUGUAAAACACUAGAUCCAGACUUGACUUUAUGCGAUUUCAAAAUAAAAGCAUUACCUCAGCAAAAUUAAAAACAAAAAAGGAUUAGUCAUAAAACCUAAUAAUACCUAAGCCAUGAUUGAGUUAAUGUUUAUAUAAAUAGAUUGCAAGCUAUAAACUACUAUGCAAAUAUAUCUGUGUCCACUUGUGAAAAGAAAGGUUUGGAUUAUUU